GGGCCCUAUAGCUCGAACGGUUAGAGCGCACGCCUGAUAAGCGUGAGGUCGGUGGUUCAGUCCACUUAGGCCCACCA
RNAcentral lists this transfer RNA (77 nucleotides) under Anaerobacillus sp. HL2. Its description in RNAcentral is "tRNA-Ile". It matches the Rfam family "tRNA". From Rfam's summary of the family: Transfer RNA (tRNA) molecules are approximately 80 nucleotides in length. Their secondary structure includes four short double-helical elements and three loops (D, anti-codon, and T loops). Further hydrogen bonds mediate the characteristic L-shaped molecular structure. tRNAs have two regions of fundamental functional importance: the anti-codon, which is responsible for specific mRNA codon recognition, and the 3' end, to which the tRNAs corresponding amino acid is attached (by aminoacyl-tRNA synthetases). tRNAs cope with the degeneracy of the genetic code in two manners: having more than one tRNA (with a specific anti-codon) for a particular amino acid; and 'wobble' base-pairing, i.e. permitting non-standard base-pairing at the 3rd anti-codon position. The record is from RNAcentral. Lineage: Bacteria; Bacillati; Bacillota; Bacilli; Caryophanales; Bacillaceae.